AGUGAACGCUGGCGGUAGGCCUAACACAUGCGAGUCGAACGGCAGCACAGUAAGAGCUUGCUCUUACGGGUGGCGAGUGGCGGACGGGUGAGGAAUACAUCGGAAUCUACUUUUUCGUGGGGGAUAACGUAGGGAAACUUACGCUAAUACCGCAUACGACCUACGGGUGAAAGCAGGGGAUCUUCGGACCUUGCGCGAUUGAAUGAGCCGAUGUCGGAUUAGCUAGUUGGCGGGGUAAAGGCCCACCAAGGCGACGAUCCGUAGCUGGUCUGAGAGGAUGAUCAGCCACACUGGAACUGAGACACGGUCCAGACUCCUACGGGAGGCAGCAGUGGGGAAUAUUGGACAAUGGGCGCAAGCCUGAUCCAGCCAUACCGCGUGGGUGAAGAAGGCCUUCGGGUUGUAAAGCCCUUUUGUUGGGAAAGAAAAGCAGCAGGUUAAUACCCCGCUGUUCUGACGGUACCCUAAGAAUAAGCACCGGCUAACUUCGUG
This 492-nucleotide ribosomal RNA is filed under the name uncultured bacterium. Its description in RNAcentral is "partial 16S ribosomal RNA". It matches the Rfam family "Bacterial small subunit ribosomal RNA", at positions 29 to 507 of the family's 1533-position model. The record is from RNAcentral.